UGCGGAGGGGUCUAGCGUUGUUCGGAAUUACUGGGCGUAAAGCGCACGUAGGCGGCUUUGUAAGUUAGAGGUGAAAGCCCAGGGCUCAACCCUGGAAUUGCCUUUAAGACUGCAUCGCUUGAACAUCGGAGAGGUAAGUGGAAUUCCGAGUGUAGAGGUGAAAUUCGUAGAUAUUCGGAAGAACACCAGUGGCGAAGGCGACUUACUGGACGAUUGUUGACGCUGAGGUGCGAAAGCGUGGGGAGCAAACAGG
Molecule: ribosomal RNA, 253 nt
Filed under: uncultured bacterium
Lineage: Bacteria
Description: partial 16S ribosomal RNA
Rfam family: Bacterial small subunit ribosomal RNA
Source: RNAcentral